This 237-nucleotide ribosomal RNA is filed under the name uncultured bacterium. RNAcentral describes it as "partial 16S ribosomal RNA". It matches the Rfam family "Bacterial small subunit ribosomal RNA", at positions 97 to 334 of the family's 1533-position model. The record is from RNAcentral.
GGCGGACGGGUGAGUAACGCGUGGGUAACCUGCCUCACACAGGGGGAUAACAGUUGGAAACGACCGCUAAUACCGCAUAACCCGCUAGGGCCGCAUGGCCCGGACGGAAAAGAUUUAUCGGUGUGAGAUGGACCCGCGUUGGAUUAGCUAGUUGGCAGGGUAACGGCCUACCAAGGCGACGAUCCAUAGCCGGCCUGAGAGGGUGAACGGCCACAUUGGGACUGAGACACGGCCCAA